Aegilops tauschii subsp. strangulata is the source of this 1083-nucleotide long non-coding RNA. RefSeq lists it as uncharacterized. The record is from RefSeq and is a predicted model, not a curated record. NCBI's taxonomy places the organism in Eukaryota, Viridiplantae, Streptophyta, Magnoliopsida, Poales, Poaceae.
CCACUAAUGUCUAAUUAGCUGCAAGAUGAGUAAAAUGUUAAUCUUUUUUUCUUUGAAAAUCUGAUGGAUAAAAUAGGAAAUUGUUCUUGGUUGCAUUAUGUACUCUCAGUUUUCGAUUAUUUUAAAAACAAUUUUUUGAGGGGUAUUUCAAAAAUAAAUAAAUAAGUUGUCCUGAUGGGCUGUACAAUGUCAGGCCCAUUAUAGCCCCCUUUCAGGGCCCGGUGAAUGCGAGAGAGACCUCAUCUUCUUUUCCCUUCCCAUGGCCGUGGCUACCCUCGGUCCCAUCCCCAAAUCCCAGCGAGAGAUUUCCGCCGCCGCCUUCCUCUUCCUGCCAAGCGGCUACUCCCUUCUCCUCUGCCCCGAGCUCAUCGCUCUCCGGAUUUCCACGCCGCCGUGGAGGGGUCAGUCUGUUCCAGGCUGCCGCGUGAGCAGGAGAAGGGGCAGCCGGAGAGGCGGGGUAAGGUGCCUUCGCUGCGAAGCCGGCGACGGGCGUAGAGGUGCAGCCGCCGGUCACUCCGAUCACUUGGCUCCUUCUCCUUCUGGAUUAAUCAGAAGCAAAAUUAGACUGCAGCUCGUGUCCACCGAAAGUAAGGAAACUACUAGGAUGCAUCUCGUGUAUGAUGAAGCCACUGUCGCCGUUGACGGCCUGGCCAUGGCUUUCCUGCCCACACUUGAGCUCAACGCGGAGGGCAAUCGAGUGACAAGGACAUUCAUUUGACACUACUGAUGCCAAUGCUAUGACUGAUCGGUCUGGAAUAAGGGGGGCACAAUCCAGACGAUCAAGGUGGCUCAAGACUGGGUAGGGUAGGGGGUGAAAGGCAAGGGCUGAUGAUCACACCGAUUGUGCCGGAUGAGAGUGCUUAAAUCGAAGCUAUAGGCAGAAGAGCAAUCAAUUCUGCACAACUUUUGACGCGUAUUAUUGCAUUUGGGCCUAAGUUAACUCAGUGGCCAUUUGCUGGCUAGAUCAACCUAGGCUGCAAAUCUUAUGUGCUGUUAAGUUCUAAUUUGCUUGACAGUUUAAGACCAUGAUUUAUAAGGAUAUCUAUAGUACGUUUUUUAGGGGAACAUAUAUCGCGAGGGCUA